GCACCUCCCAAACAUCCCUGCCCUGACUUCCUCAGUGCUGGGCCAGGGUCAGGUGAAGUGCCAGAGAGAUGCAAAGUGUAUCCAGAUGGGCCUUUCUACUUCCAUUGGGGCUUGUCUCUACAACUUUGUAACAAAG
Small nucleolar RNA from Polyodon spathula (Mississippi paddlefish), 136 nucleotides. RefSeq annotates it as small nucleolar RNA SNORA55. NCBI's taxonomy places the organism in Eukaryota, Metazoa, Chordata, Actinopteri, Acipenseriformes, Polyodontidae. The transcript has a single exon. The record is from RefSeq and is a predicted model, not a curated record.